Molecule: small RNA, 774 nt
Filed under: Drosophila ananassae
Lineage: Eukaryota; Metazoa; Arthropoda; Insecta; Diptera; Drosophilidae
Description: GF27335
Source: RNAcentral
AUCAAUGUGGUUGGCUCCUCUCUGGUUCCGUUUUAAUAAACGACGAGCAGUGGCCCCUCCAGUCUUGGCCCUUUCUGUUCAGUCGUCCUUCCGCAAGGACAUUCCAUUGAUCCCUUCUUGUAUAUGCCCUGAUGCAGUCCUGAUUUCCUCAUUUCUUGUUGAUCCUUUCUCGCACUACAGAUGAGCCCCUAGUUCCGUCAUUUGUAGCCGCUGACUGGUCGCUUAUGUCACUUAGAAAACGAUUUCUUUUUGAAAUCAUCAUUGAGGACAGUCGGUCUUCCUCCAUAACUGCUGGAAGAGGUCCUUUUGACAUCUGAUUUCCUCAUUUCAUUAUCCCAAUUGAUCAUAUAUCACAUGUGUUCCUGAUUCAGUUCCUUCAAUUAGUUGGAUCUAGAUUCCACACCGUUUCAAAUGGUUGGAUAAGCUGAUAUUUCUUUGUAAAUGGAUGAGGUCCUUGGUGCAUCCUUGAUGUUCUUGAAGCCAUAGGGGUCGACUUAUCCUCAGAUCCUUCUGGACGUGUGGUUCUCCUUUCUUUUGUUCCUGUUUCCUGUCCAGUUUCACGGACGGCGCGGAGUGGGCUCUCCAGUCUUGGCCCUUUCUGUUCAGUCGUCCUGCUGCCAGGACGUCCCUCCUUUCCUGAUUUCCUUCCAGCUUCCAUUGCCUUAUGUUUCCUUGCACUAUCUGUGACUGUCAUCGGUAACACACGUGCAGUUGUUGCAAUUUGUCCAUCUUGGUUGCAAGUCCCUUAUUUCCUCAUAUUUAAAUCUGGUAUAA